This 574-nucleotide ribosomal RNA is filed under the name Riemerella anatipestifer. RNAcentral describes it as "bacterial SSU rRNA". It matches the Rfam family "Bacterial small subunit ribosomal RNA", at positions 265 to 836 of the family's 1533-position model. Lineage: Bacteria; Pseudomonadati; Bacteroidota; Flavobacteriia; Flavobacteriales; Weeksellaceae. The record is from RNAcentral.
UCACCAAGUCAAUGAUCUUUAGGGGGCCUGAGAGGGUGAUCCCCCACACUGGUACUGAGACACGGACCAGACUCCUACGGGAGGCAGCAGUGAGGAAUAUUGGACAAUGGGUGGAAGCCUGAUCCAGCCAUCCCGCGUGAAGGACGACGGCCCUAUGGGUUGUAAACUUCUUUUGUACAGGGAUAAACCUACUCUCGUGAGGGUAGCUGAAGGUACUGUACGAAUAAGCACCGGCUAACUCCGUGCCAGCAGCCGCGGUAAUACGGAGGGUGCGAGCGUUAUCCGGAUUUAUUGGGUUUAAAGGGUCCGCAGGCGGGCUAGUAAGUCAGUGGUGAAAGCCUACAGCUUAACUGUAGAACUGCCGUUGAUACUGCUAGUCUUGAGUAUAGUUGAGGUAGCUGGAAUGAGUAGUGUAGCGGUGAAAUGCAUAGAUAUUACUCAGAACACCGAUUGCGAAGGCAGGUUACCAAGUUAUAACUGACGCUGAGGGACGAAAGCGUGGGGAGCGAACAGGAUUAGAUACCCUGGUAGUCCACGCCGUAAACGAUGCUAACUCGUUUUUGGGCUUUAGGGU